Molecule: long non-coding RNA, 1914 nt
Filed under: Populus tremula
Lineage: Eukaryota; Viridiplantae; Streptophyta; Magnoliopsida; Malpighiales; Salicaceae
Description: long non-coding RNA (PTRE_LNC000930)
Source: RNAcentral
UUCAUAUUAAUUUCUUAGGACAAAAAUACAUUCAAAUAUAAAUAUAACAAAAUUAUAUACUAGUUAAAGUAAGGGCAUUGUUCUUAAUUACAUACCCGGCAAAGGAAUAAUUUAAACAUUUUAAAUUUUCUUAACAUACAUGCAAUAUAAAACAUAAUAUCAAUACUUCUAAUACAAAAAUUAACUUAAACAAGGAUUCCCAUUUAUGCUUCUACUUUCCAGCUCGAGGAUGCGAUGUACCUAACAACAUAUUUAUAUAACAUGUGAACAUUUGGAAAAAAAUUAAAAAAAUUAUUCUUAUUAAUAAUAAUACACAAUUUAAAUAAGGGUUAUUUGAAGCAUACACAAUAAUAUACGAACUAACUCAUUAAAUGAAGCACUUAUCGUCAAUAUAUUAAUUUAAUCUAAAUCUCAUUCAUUUAUAUAUAUAUAUAUAUAUAUAUAUCUUCUUCAUUAACCAGGAUAUGACUUUCUCAAGUUGUCCAUCCAUUAGUACAUUAUAUAUGGAGUUCAGGUAAGAAUAAAAAGGAAAAUAGUUCAUGGUUCAACCAAUGUACCCAUUUCAACAGGGCAUUAUUUCUAUUAACUAGGAAAUAAUCUUUCAGCAAGUCCAUUUAUUUAACAGGGUAUUAUUUCCAUUAACCAGGAAAUAAUCUCUCAGCAAGCCCAUUUAUUUAACAGGGCAUUAUUUCCAUUAACCAGGAAAUAAUCUCUCAGCACGCCCAUUUAUUUAACAGGGCAUUAUUUCCAUUAACCAGGAAAUAAUCUCUCAGCAAGCCCAUUUAUUUAACAGGGCAUUAUUUCCAUUAACCAGGAAAUAAUCUCUCAGCACGCCCAUUUAUUUAACAGGGCAUUAUUUCCAUUAACCCAGGAAAUAAUCUCUCAGCACGCCCAUUUAACAGGACGUUAAUUUCAUUCUUUUCUUCUUCUUUUUUUUUCCACAAUUUCUACAUUAAAAUUUACAAUCAAAGGAAAUUUCUUCUAAAAUACUAAAUUAAGCAAUUAAUUUAUUAUAAGGUAUUUAACACCUACCUGGUGUUUGUGGGCGUGAAGUGGUCCCCUGUUGUUGAUUAGGUCCUGCGACCUCUUCUGCACCAACACAAAAAUCCAUAUGUCAAAUUUUAUUUAUAACCAACUAAUAAAGAUCUCAUUUCAUUUUAAAUUAAGAAGAAUAAAUUUCUCCUUUUUUAACUCUUCAUCGAAAUUAACUUUCUAAUUCUCCAACAAUCCUUCCGAUUCAUCUAAAAUCAAUCUUUUACAAUAACAAAAUCCAAGUCAAAAUUCUUUUUCUCCUUUUUAUAUGUCAUGGCCGAAAUCCCUUCAAAGAAAAUGGUGAUUAUUUUAUUUUUGUAACAUCCUUCACCAUUUCAUUUAUUAACAUUUAUAAGCCAUAAAUUCCCACAAUUUCUAAACAAUUGCAUUAAAUUCUUCAUUCUCCCAAAACUUCUCCUUUGCCGUGACCAUUAACCAAAAAAAAGGGAGGGGUUUGUUUCUUCCAUUUCUAAAUUAAACACUUACCCAUUAAUAAUCUAUGCAUCCUAAUAUAGUUCAAUCAUGAAUUGCAUCAUUUCAAUAAUUAACACCAUAAAUCCCCAAUUUCACAUAAUCAUAGCAAUUUAAUUUCUUCAUCAAAACACAAAAUUAUAAAAAUUAAUCUUUCUAAACAUGUUCUUCAACUUACUUGGGUAAAGAUUCAAGGAAUGGAUGCAAGAAAAUUCAAGCUUCCUUCUUCUCCCUUUUUAAACCCUAGCUUUAGAUUUCUUUCUAAAGAAAACAAGUUCCAAGCACUAAAUCACCUCUCAUAAUUUCUUUUUUCUAAGUGCUAAUCACUCUAAUUACAUCUCUCUCUCUCUUUUCAUGUAUAAUUUGCAAGAAAAUAACUAAAAGUCACACAAUUUAUUUCCCUCCUUUAUG